AUUGAACGCUGGCGGCAUGCCUUACACAUGCAAGUCGAACGGCAGCACGGGUGCUUGCACCUGGUGGCGAGUGGCGAACGGGUGAGUAAUACAUCGGAACAUGUCCUGUAGUGGGGGAUAGCCCGGCGAAAGCCGGAUUAAUACCGCAUACGAUCUACGGACGAAAGCGGGGGACCUUCGGGCCUCGCGCUAUAGGGUUGGCCGAUGGCUGAUUAGCUAGUUGGUGGGGUAAAGGCCUACCAAGGCGACGAUCAGUAGCUGGUCUGAGAGGACGACCAGCCACACUGGGACUGAGACACGGCCCAGACUCCUACGGGAGGCAGCAGUGGGGAAUUUUGGACAAUGGGCGAAAGCCUGAUCCAGCAAUGCCGCGUGUGUGAAGAAGGCCUUCGGGUUGUAAAGCACUUUUGUCCGGAAAGAAAUCCUUGGCCCUAAUACGGUCGGGGGAUGACGGUACCGGAAGAAUAAGCACCGGCUAACUACGUG
RNAcentral lists this ribosomal RNA (486 nucleotides) under uncultured bacterium. RNAcentral's name for it is "partial 16S ribosomal RNA". It matches the Rfam family "Bacterial small subunit ribosomal RNA", at positions 30 to 507 of the family's 1533-position model. The record is from RNAcentral.